AGUUUGCAGUCCAUCAUCCAGGGAAGUCCGUGCAGAAACUCAAGGCAGGAACCAGGAGGCAGGGACCGAUGCAGAGACCAUGCAGUAAGCAGAGGGGUGGGCGCUGCUUACUGGCUUGCUCCUCAUGGCUUGCUCAGACUGCUUUUUUUUAUAGAACCCAGGGACAGCACCAACCACAGUAGGCUGGACUGCUGUGGAAUAAUCCUUUUGUACACUGUGAAGAUUUGUCACUGUGAUUGGUUUACUAAAAAGCUAACUGGCAUGUAGCCAGGCAGGAAGUCUAUGCAGGACAACCAAACUAAGGACUGGGGAGUAGGGCAGGGUGAGAGGAGCUGCCAGCAGAAGUAGAAGAAGCAGGACGUGUAGAAAAUGAGACAGGGGCUCUUUCUGUACCUCAGUGUUGUGGAAUGCUGUCCAGACACCCUAUCAGCCAUUACCAUCUUAAUUAAACUUUUUAUAACAGAGAGAUAGGCCAGCUGCUGGCCCCACCCCAUUUCCUCCAAGAAGACUGGUGGGCACUGAAGAAACUCCACCCACAAAAGUGGCAACGCUAGCCAUUGAUCGAUCCUGCCUUUCACCUCAACUGCUGCAAAGGACUUUUCAGACCAUGGACAAGAGGACAGUAGAAUCAACUUUCUCCAUGUUGCUUGGGCCAAUGGUAGGCAAGUCUUCCUAAAAUUCCUAAUCCACAGGUCCCAUGCUAUCAGCAGAAGGCAGGUCUUCUUAAAGCGGCUGCCCUCAACAACUACGGAGGACCUUGGGAGAGGCUGUCCAUGCAGUCAGCUAGUAAGUCUCUGUUAUUCUUUAAUCAUUAACUCAGGUAAAAUGUUAUCCUUCUCAAGAACUCUGAUGCUUUUGACGACUGGUAGCUUUGCCAGCUUAAAGCAACAGGCAAAGCUCCAACUGUCACAAAACAGAUUUCAGGAACAGGUAUUUUAGGGUUUAUCUAUGUGAAGAUGGUAAUAAGGUCUAAAUAUAAAUACAAGUUAUGAAAGUCUGAAGAUAAAAAGGCUUAAGCGAUGACAAAUAAAGUGAGUUGAGACAUUCAAAAGAGUGAAACACCUUCCAGAUUUCUCUUUCUCAUUAUGGUAAUGUUCAUAGUCUUAACAUUAAUCAGUAAAGUUUUAAUAAGCGACUAAUCCAACUCUGACAGAGUACAAAACCUCAUAUUAUACCACUUUAUGAUAACUGCAAAGUUAAAGUCAAGGUUCUUCUCAUUGUCCUAAAAAUAUGUGUCAGUUUUAAAAAUGUUAAUACUUUCAGCCAAGUUGUUUCUAACACAAAUAAGCUGCCAAUGUGUCUAAUACGUACGUUUUCACGAACUCAAAG
RNAcentral lists this long non-coding RNA (1329 nucleotides) under Cricetulus griseus (Chinese hamster). Its description in RNAcentral is "lncRNA (ENSCGRG00015040239.1)". The record is from RNAcentral. Lineage: Eukaryota; Metazoa; Chordata; Mammalia; Rodentia; Cricetidae.